RNAcentral lists this ribosomal RNA (301 nucleotides) under uncultured bacterium. Its description in RNAcentral is "partial 16S ribosomal RNA". It matches the Rfam family "Bacterial small subunit ribosomal RNA", at positions 509 to 809 of the family's 1533-position model. The record is from RNAcentral.
CAGUAGCCGCGGUAAUACAGAGGUCCCGAGCGUUGUUCAGAUUCACUGGGCGUAAAGGGUGUGUAGGAGGUUUGGUAAGUCAGGUGUGAAAUCCCACAGCUCAACUGUGGAACUGCAUUCGAUACUGCCGAACUAGAGGCUUGGAGGGGGAAGCGGAAUUCUUGGUGUAGCGGUGAAAUGCGUAGAUAUCAAGAGGAACACCGGUGGCGAAGGCGGCUUCCUGGACAAGUCCUGACUCUGAAACACGAAAGCCUGGGGAGCGAAUGGGAUUAGAUACCCGCGUAGUCCCUGUCUUUUAUAA